GUUUGUCUGUGUGCUAAUGUGAGGAUCUGAUAGCAGGAUAGACACCUAAGUGUGAAGGAAUCUUCCCUCCUCUUUUAUUGCUGCCCCCAACAGAGCUGCGCCAUCGACUUGACUGCCCAAUAAAAACAAGUAAAAGGCUGACAUUGCACUUCAUUUAACACCGCAUGCCCUUCACACUGCCUCCUACAUAGGCCAUUGUCAUCCACAGGGACGUGUCUUUGUUGAGAGGUUCAUGUUGUCCAUAAAGCAAAACUCCAGACAACAAUAGAUGGGCAGCUGUUUCCUAGGCAAGCAGUGUGUUUUGCAUCCUACAAGCAGGUGUUUUCUCAUGAUGUUACUUUGUAGUGUAGCUAAUGCAGCUUGAGUUUCCAGGUGACUAAUGACUAAUGUCACAUCCCGAAUUUUCUUUUUUCUUCACGUGUCAAACUAAAUUUAGUAGCGUGGCUCUAUUUUUAUUCUAUUUCUAGUUUUUUUUUUCAUGUUUUCGAAACUCUAAAACACGUAUAAUUCAACUGUCCUGUGCGACUUUUAUCGUAAACCCAAGCAGGUAUUAAGCUGCAUUUUAAUAACUGAAAGCGUACAACCAAACGUGCUGCUCACAUGGACAGCAAAAAUCUUUGAACCGUCUCUGCGUCGAGUGCAUAAAUGUCUGAGUUGAUUUAGCCUGGGUGGGGAGGAUGUGCACUCUUUAGAUGAUCGUUCACAAUGAGGUGUCAGGUAUGAGACAACUAUUCCCUGGAGCAACAGCCACAGAGGGCCACGUCUUCAUCCCUUUCAUACUUCAGUGACUCAUGAGUAUUUGCUCCUUUAGAGAGAAGAGAUUGGUAAAUGCAUGUUUGAGAAAGUUACUCUUUUCUGUUUUGCUCUGGGGGGUUUUUCACUUCCCUUGAACUCUGCCACUGGUUUCAGUAGCAGUCUGAGACAAACACGCUCUUCUUAUCCUUUCUGUUUCAGCUCCAGUGCCUUUCAGAUUUCAACUGACUUUUCUUUACCUUUCUGACUGCUCUUUUC
Astatotilapia calliptera (eastern happy) is the source of this 1011-nucleotide long non-coding RNA. The record is from Ensembl. Lineage: Eukaryota; Metazoa; Chordata; Actinopteri; Cichliformes; Cichlidae.